UCUUUGAAACAGGGGUGCAUUAUCAUGUC
RNAcentral lists this non-coding RNA (29 nucleotides) under Rattus norvegicus (Norway rat). The record is from RNAcentral. Lineage: Eukaryota; Metazoa; Chordata; Mammalia; Rodentia; Muridae.